GACGAACGCUGGCGGCGUGCUUAACACAUGCAAGUCGAGCGGUAAGGCCCUUUCGGGGGUACACGAGCGGCGAACGGGUGAGUAACACGUGGGUGACCUGCCUCUAGCUCUGGGAUAAGCCUGGGAAGCUGGGUCUAAUACCGGAUAUGACCUCGCGGUGCAUGUUGCGGGGUGGAAAGCCUUGUGCGGCUAGGGAUGGGCCCGCGGCCUAUCAGCUUGUUGGUGGGGUGANGGCCUACCAAGGCGACAACGGGUAGCCGGCCUGAGAGGGCGACCGGCCACACUGGGACUGAGACACGGCCCAGACUCCUACGGGAGGCAGCAGUGGGGAAUCUUGCGCAAUGGGCGAAAGCCUGACGCAGCGACGCCGCGUGAGGGAUGACGGCCU
Molecule: ribosomal RNA, 388 nt
Filed under: uncultured bacterium
Lineage: Bacteria
Description: bacterial SSU rRNA
Rfam family: Bacterial small subunit ribosomal RNA
Source: RNAcentral